AAAUGCACAUGCUGUGAGCUCGAUGAGUAGGGCGGGACACGUGGUAUCCUGUCUGAAUAUGGGGGGACCAUCCUCCAAGGCUAAAUACUCCUGACUGACCGAUAGUGAACCAGUACCGUGAGGGAAAGGCGAAAAGAACCCCGGCGAGGGGAGUGAAAAAGAACCUGAAACCGUGUACGUACAAGCAGUGGGAGCCUCUUUAUGGGGUGACUGCGUACCUUUUGUAUAAUGGGUCAGCGACUUAUAUUCUGUAGCAAGGUUAACCGAAUAGGGGAGCCGAAGGGAAACCGAGUCUUAACUGGGCGUUAAGUUGCAGGGUAUAGACCCGAAACCCGGUGAUCUAGCCAUGGGCAGGUUGAAGGUUGGGUAACACUAACUGGAGGACCGAACCGACUAAUGUUGAAAAAUUAGCGGAUGACUUGUGGCUGGGGGUGAAAGGCCAAUCAAACCGGGAGAUAGCUGGUUCUCCCCGAAAGCUAUUUAGGUAGCGCCUCGUGAAUUCAUCUCCGGGGGUAGAGCACUGUUUCGGCAAGGGGGUCAUCCCGACUUACCAACCCGAUGCAAACUGCGAAUACCGGAGAAUGUUAUCACGGGAGACACACGGCGGGUGCUAACGUCCGUCGUGAAGAGGGAAACAACCCAGACCGCCAGCUAAGGUCCCAAAGUCAUGGUUAAGUGGGAAACGAUGUGGGAAGGCCCAGACAGCCAGGAUGUUGGCUUAGAAGCAGCCAUCAUUUAAAGAAAGCGUAAUAGCUCACUGGUCGAGUCGGCCUGCGCGGAAGAUGUAACGGGGCUAAACCAUGCACCGAAGCUGCGGCAGCGACACUAUGUGUUGUUGGGUAGGGGAGCGUUCUGUAAGCCUGUGAAGGUGUACUGUGAGGUAUGCUGGAGGUAUCAGAAGUGCGAAUGCUGACAUAAGUAACGAUAAAGCGGGUGAAAAGCCCGCUCGCCGGAAGACCAAGGGUUCCUGUCCAACGUUAAUCGGGGCAGGGUGAGUCGACCCCUAAGGCGAGGCCGAAAGGCGUAGUCGAUGGGAAACAGGUUAAUAUUCCUGUACUUGGUGUUACUGCGAAGGGGGGACGGAGA
This 1086-nucleotide ribosomal RNA is filed under the name Escherichia coli. RNAcentral describes it as "partial 23S ribosomal RNA". It matches the Rfam family "Bacterial large subunit ribosomal RNA", at positions 383 to 1478 of the family's 2925-position model. Lineage: Bacteria; Pseudomonadati; Pseudomonadota; Gammaproteobacteria; Enterobacterales; Enterobacteriaceae. The record is from RNAcentral.